GUGGGCCAGAUCAUCUGUGCUGUGGUUGCAGAAACAGACGUACAGGCAAAACGAGCAGCUGAAAAGAUAAAGCUCACCUAUGAAGAUCUGGAACCUGUAAUCUUCACGAUCAAGGAUGCCAUAAAACACAAUUCAUUCCUGUGCCGUGAAAAAAAAACUUGAAAAAGGAAACGUUGAGGAGGCCUUUGAAAAAGUCGACCAAAUUGUUGAAGAACUGGUCACCCCAUUCGUCUCAUCCUUGAUCGUGAAGAUGAUAUGCUAAUAACUGGAGGAAGGCAUCCAUUAUUUGGAAAAUAUAAAGUAGGAUUCAUGAACAACGGGCGGAUCAAAGCUCUAGACAUUGAGUGCUACAUUAACGGAGGAUGCACGCUGGAUGACUCUGAGCUGGUAACAGAAUUUCUAAUACUAAAGCUGGAAAAUGCAUAUAAAAUUCGCAACCUGUU
Molecule: long non-coding RNA, 443 nt
Filed under: Homo sapiens (human)
Lineage: Eukaryota; Metazoa; Chordata; Mammalia; Primates; Hominidae
Description: non-protein coding lnc-BZW1-3:1
Source: RNAcentral